Molecule: transfer RNA, 73 nt
Filed under: Stegodyphus mimosarum
Lineage: Eukaryota; Metazoa; Arthropoda; Arachnida; Araneae; Eresidae
Rfam family: tRNA
About the family: Transfer RNA (tRNA) molecules are approximately 80 nucleotides in length. Their secondary structure includes four short double-helical elements and three loops (D, anti-codon, and T loops).
Source: Rfam by way of RNAcentral
GCUUUCGUGGUGUAAUGGUCAUCACACUGAGCCGGUAUUUCAGAGGUCCGUGGUUCGAUCCCCGGCGAAGGCA